RNAcentral lists this ribosomal RNA (812 nucleotides) under uncultured bacterium. Its description in RNAcentral is "bacterial SSU rRNA". It matches the Rfam family "Bacterial small subunit ribosomal RNA", at positions 554 to 1369 of the family's 1533-position model. The record is from RNAcentral.
CUGGGCGUAAAGCGUGCGCAGGCGGAUUGUUAAGCAAGACGUGAAAGCCCCGGGCUUAACCUGGGAAUGGCGUUUUGAACUGGCAGUCUAGAGUGCGUCUGAGGGGGGUGGAAUUCCACGUGUAGCAGUGAAAUGCGUAGAGAUGUGGAGGAACACCAAUGGCGAAGGCAGCCCCCUGGGAUGACACUGACGCUCAUGUACGAAAGCGUGGGUAGCAAACAGGAUUAGAUACCCUGGUAGUCCACGCCCUAAACGAUGUCAACUGGUUGUUGGGGGAGCGAAAUCCCUUAGUAGCGAAGCUAACGCGUGAAGUUGACCGCCUGGGGAGUACGGUCGCAAGAUUAAAACUCAAAGGAAUUGACGGGGACCCGCACAAGCGGUGGAUGAUGUGGAUUAAUUCGAUGCAACGCGAAAAACCUUACCUACCCUUGACAUGUCCAGGAUCCUGCAGAGAUGCGGGAGUGCCCGAAAGGGAAUUGGAACACAGGUGCUGCAUGGCUGUCGUCAGCUCGUGUCGUGAGAUGUUGGGUUAAGUCCCGCAACGAGCGCAACCCUUAUCAUUAGUUGCUACGCAAGGGCACUCUAAUGAGACUGCCGGUGACAAACCGGAGGAAGGUGGGGAUGACGUCAAGUCCUCAUGGCCCUUAUGGGUAGGGCUUCACACGUCAUACAAUGGUCGGUACAGAGGGUUGCCAAGCCGCGAGGUGGAGCCAAUCCCAGAAAGCCGAUCGUAGUCCGGAUUGUUCUCUGCAACUCGAGAGCAUGAAGUCGGAAUCGCUAGUAAUCGCGGAUCAGCAUGUCGCGGUGAAUAC